AAGGCUUUAAGUUAAAUAAAAACUAAUAUCCUUCAAAGUUAUAAAUAAAGAGGUUUAUCUUUAAGUCUUAGUAUUAAUUUACACCACAAG
This 90-nucleotide transfer RNA is filed under the name unidentified. Its description in RNAcentral is "Tenodera aridifolia brevicollis tRNA-Trp". The record is from RNAcentral.